GCAAUAAAGGGAAAAACUGGGGAAGCAAAGUAGGAAAUGAACUUGAAAACUUUUUCUUGUUUGCAUUCAGAAAGUCAAGGGUUGCUUCUGCAACAACAGGGUCUGCAAACUCACGGCUCAAGCAUGACUUAAAAAAGGUCCGUAAGUUAGGAUCAGCAUCAUGCAGGACCACAUCUCCAAAGUCAAGAAAAAACUGAAGUAUAGCCAAUAGAAGAAGGCCAUUGGAGGUUUGAGACUGCGAAAUUGAAGAAAGACAUCGCUGAAAUAUCCUAUUCAGAUGAGGAUAAACUCUAGCAAUCAAAUCUUCUGAUUUUUCACUUCUACAUAAAUCACAAAGACUUUUGACGGAAUUGAGAAGAGAAGGAUCAGAGGCAGGGUCGGUGACGAAAUUGGAGUCUCUAGCACUGGAAGAUAACGAUCUCAGAUGAAAAUCGAACUGUUUGAAUUUGUCUUCUCCGGCCAUCAUCUAUUUAUCGAUACAAAGCAAAGCAG
Molecule: unclassified non-coding RNA, 492 nt
Filed under: Hevea brasiliensis (rubber tree)
Lineage: Eukaryota; Viridiplantae; Streptophyta; Magnoliopsida; Malpighiales; Euphorbiaceae
Source: RNAcentral